ACUGAGCCCAUUGAUGAGUACUGCGUACAGCAGCUCAAGGAGUUCGAUGGCAAGAGCCUGGUCUCCGUGACCAAGGAGGGCCUGGAGCUACCAGAGGAUGAGGAAGAGAAGAAAAAAAUGGAGGAGAGCAAGGCAAAGUUUGAGAAUCUCUGCAAGCUCAUGAAGGAGAUCUUGGACAAGAAGGUUGAAAAAGUGAGUCUUCCCUUGGAUUUAGUCUGCUGCUAUUACAGCAUAGACCAGGCACUAGCAGUAUUCAGGGAUAUUUAAUACUGUUUAACUCCUAACAGUUAUUCCACCUAAUGUAUGCAUGCAAGAAAAGACCUUACUGUUGCCCAGGUUAUCCUUGAAUCUCUGCAGUACUCAAGCUACCUUCAGCCUCUACAGCAUGUAGGGGUAGGGGGUUAGUCAUCUGCUAUUCUUUUUUUUUUAUUAUUUUUGUUCUUUUUUUCGGAGCUGAGGACCGAACCCAGGGCCUUGCACUUCCUAGGCAAGCGCUCUACCACUGAGCUAAAUCCCCAACCCCGUCAUCUGCUAUUCUUGACAAAAAAACCCAAGGUACUUUUUCCAUAGCAGUUCCAUGAUGGCCAACAAUUGUCAUUGUCCUUGAUUGUCCACAGGUGACUAUCUCCAAUAGGCUUGUGUCUUCCCCCUGCUGCAUUGUGACCAGCACCUACGGCUGGACAGCCAACAUGGAACGGAUUAUGAAGGCCCAGGCACUGCGGGACAACUCGACAAUGGGCUACAUGAUGGCCAAGAAACACCUAGAGAUCAACCCUGAC
RNAcentral lists this long non-coding RNA (779 nucleotides) under Rattus norvegicus (Norway rat). RNAcentral's name for it is "long non-coding RNA NONRATT029235". The record is from RNAcentral. Lineage: Eukaryota; Metazoa; Chordata; Mammalia; Rodentia; Muridae.